CCUACGUGGCUGCAGUCGAGAAUCUUCGGCAAUGGGCGCAAGCCUGACCGAGCGACGCCGCGUGUGGGAUGAAGGCCUUCGGGUUGUAAACCACUGUCAGAGGGGAUGAAAUGCAGGUGGGUUCUCCCAUCUGUUUGACAUAGCCUCAGAGGAAGGACGGGCUAAGUUCGUGCCAGCAGCCGCGGUAAGACGAACCGUCCAAACGUUAUUCGGAAUCACUGGGCUUAAAGGGUGCGUAGGCGGCGCGGAAAGUUGGGUGUGAAAUCCCUCGGCUUAACCGAGGAACUGCGCCCAAAACUACCGUGCUUGAGGGAGAUAGAGGUGAGCGGAACUUAGGGUGGAGCGGUGAAAUGCGUUGAUAUCCUAAGGAACACCGGUGGCGAAAGCGGCUCACUGGAUCUCUUCUGACGCUGAUGCACGAAAGCUAGGGUAGCGAACGGGAUUAGAUACCCGGGUAGUCUG
RNAcentral lists this ribosomal RNA (462 nucleotides) under uncultured bacterium. Its description in RNAcentral is "bacterial SSU rRNA". It matches the Rfam family "Bacterial small subunit ribosomal RNA", at positions 338 to 797 of the family's 1533-position model. The record is from RNAcentral.